AUUGAACGCUGGCGGCAUGCUUUACACAUGCAAGUCGAACGGUAACGCGGGGGCAACCCUGGCGACGAGUGGCGAACGGGUGAGUAAUACAUCGGAACAUGUCCUGGAGUGGGGGAUAGCUCGGCGAAAGCCGGAUUAAUACCGCAUACGCUCUGAGGAGGAAAGCGGGGGACCUGGUAACGGCCUCGCGCUGCGGGAGUGGCCGAUGUCGGAUUAGCUAGUUGGUGAGGAAAGGCUCACCAAGGCGACGAUCCGUAGCUGGUCUGAGAGGAUGAUCAGCCACACUGGGACUGAGACACGGCCCAGACUCCUACGGAGGCAGCAGUGGGGAAUUUUGGGCAAUGGGCGAAAGCCUGACCCAGCAACGCCGCGUGAAGGAUGAAAUUUUUCGGAAUGUAAACUUCGCAAGAACGGAAGAAUAAGUGGGGACAAUACCCCCCAUCGAUGACGGUACCGUUUGUAAGCUCCGGCUAACUCCGUGCCAGCCGCCGCGGUAAG
RNAcentral lists this ribosomal RNA (498 nucleotides) under uncultured bacterium. RNAcentral describes it as "bacterial SSU rRNA". It matches the Rfam family "Bacterial small subunit ribosomal RNA", at positions 29 to 524 of the family's 1533-position model. The record is from RNAcentral.